Molecule: ribosomal RNA, 732 nt
Filed under: uncultured archaeon
Lineage: Archaea
Description: bacterial SSU rRNA
Rfam family: Archaeal small subunit ribosomal RNA
Source: RNAcentral
GGAUAACCUACCCUUAGGACUGGGAUAACCCUGGGAAACUGGGGAUAAUACCGGAUAGGCAAUUUUUCCUGGAAUGGUUUUUUGUUUAAAUGUUUUUUCGCCUAAGGAUGGGUCUGCGGCCGAUUAGGUAGUUGGUUAGGUAACGGCUUACCAAGCCAUUGAUCGGUACGGGUUGUGAGAGCAAGAGCCCGGAGAUGGAACCUGAGACAAGGUUCCAGGCCCUACGGGGUGCAGCAGGCGCGAAACCUCCGCAAUGUGAGAAAUCGCGACGGGGGGAUCCCAAGUGCCAUUCUUAACGGGGUGGCUUUUCAUUAGUGUAAAGAGCUUUUGGAAUAAGGGCUGGGCAAGACCGGUGCCAGCCGCCGCGGUAACACCGGCAGCUCUAGUGGUAGCAGUUUUUAUUGGGCCUAAAGCGUCCGUAGCCGGUUUAAUAAGUCUCUGGUGAAAUCCUGUAGCUUAACUGUGGGAAUUGCUGGAGAUACUAUUAGACUUGAGACCGGGAGAGGUUAGAGGUACUCCCAGGGUAGAGGUGAAAUUCUGUAAUCCUGGGAGGACCGCCUGUUGCGAAGGCGUCUAACUGGAACGGUUCUGACGGUGAGGGACGAAAGUUAGGGGCGCGAACCGGAUUAGAUACCCGGGUAGUCCUAACUGUAAACGAUGCGGACUUGGUGUUGGGGUGGCUUUGAGCUGCUCCAGUGCCGAAGGAAGCUGUUAAGUCCGCCGCCUGGGAAG